GAACGUACAUCAUGAGAUACUUAAAAUAGUACCAUACACUUUAGAAUCAAACAAGGGAAGACUACUCAGAUAUAUCAUGUGCUAUAUAGGCUUUUCUGUUAUGUGUUUCAUAUGGAUUGAUAGAAAAUAGCACAGAAUUACAUCUUUGUGGUCCAGCCUGUGGUCUUCCUUUUGAUCCAUGUUUUGGAAUUAAAACAGUAAUUAUCUUAUUGUGUGUAGACACCUGAUUUACCACAAACUGCUAUGGCCAUAGAGUAACUGAGUGUUAAUGGCAAGUUGUUACCAAUAGCUCAGUUUUACAUUAUUUCCAGAGAUAAUUUCAUAAAAAGCAUUUUUCUUCCAGUU
RNAcentral lists this long non-coding RNA (345 nucleotides) under Bos taurus (domestic cattle). Its description in RNAcentral is "long non-coding RNA NONBTAT011727". Lineage: Eukaryota; Metazoa; Chordata; Mammalia; Artiodactyla; Bovidae. The record is from RNAcentral.